UUUUACACUUGAUUUUUGGAGAGAGGAUUCCCAACCUUUUCACAUCUUCCUCCAUGCUGCCAUAACCCAAAGUUACCACCUUGUUAUCUGGUCUUGGAGACCAAUUGGAAACUCUGAACAUGAGGAUAGUAAAGUUGUGGGUCCUUCUAGUUGUGGCAUGUGGGAUGCUGCCUCAAUGUGGACUGAUGAGUGGUACCAUGUCCGCACCCAGGAUCUGAAUCAGUGAAACCCUGGCCCGCUGAAGCUGAGUGCAGGAACUUAACCACUCCACUAGGGGGCUGGCCCCCACUCAAUCAAAUUUUGAUCAAGAUUUCUUUAGAUAAUAUUGUUGAACAAUGAAAGUCUCUUUUAUUGCUUUUUCCUAUGUACCAGGUAGUUUUUCAGGCACUUUAAAUGUAUUAUCUAUUAAAUGUAAAAUCCUCACCAUAACCCGGAGACAACCAUUAUUAUUCUCAUUUUUAUCCUGAGGCUCAGAGAAGGUUUAUAUUGGUCUUAGUACAGUUGACAUAGUUACUUGCUUUAGUAUACUUGGUUUUAGUAUGCUGAUUAUGCUUGUUUUAGUAUAUUUAGCAAGUAGUAAAAGCUUAAUUCAACCCCAGUUUCUCUGGUCCUCAUAUCUAUGAUCUGUCUGUUCAUUUUUGCUGCCUCCUUUACUAUUCUUUCCUCACUUAAGCCAAUAGAUACAAGCACAAAAGUAGAAUAUUUGAAAGAACAUUUUUAAUGCUGUUUUUGGCUAUGUUUUCUCUUAAUAAUAUUAACGUAGUGUUUUUAUGAAUAUGUAUUUUAUUAUUCCCUUAAAGGCUUGUAAUUGGUUUUACGUUGGGUAUCUAUGCUGGUACUGUCAAUUCUUAAUGCAUAAAUUGAAACACCGAAAUUGAAAAACGAUUUAAUCAUUAAGCUGAGUUAUCCUUUUUUCAUCUUUCACUAUCUUUAUUUUCUGUCUAGUGAUAAAUGUGAAUGUAGAAUUUGUGACUGAAAGGUGGUGUCAGACAUUUAAUUUUAUUUCCUCAUAAACUUUCUUGGCAGAGAGAUUAAGCAUACCUUCCAAAGGAAUCAU
This 1057-nucleotide long non-coding RNA is filed under the name Equus caballus (horse). RNAcentral's name for it is "lncRNA (ENSECAG00000052842.1)". The record is from RNAcentral. Lineage: Eukaryota; Metazoa; Chordata; Mammalia; Perissodactyla; Equidae.